UACGUGAAACCGUUCAGGGGUAAACCUGAGAAACCCGAAAGGUCGAAAGAGGAAAUUCAUUCGCGUUUCGAUCGUCGAAGUCGGACGUUUGUGUGACGGAUGGGGCGUUCGCGUCCCGUCAGCGCCAUACGUUUGUCACUUGUCGAUGUCGAACGCGUGCACUUUUCCUCUAGUAGGACGUCGCGAUCCGUUGGGUGUCUGUCUAAGACUUCGAGGUGGAGUCCGCUCGAUACAUUUUAACGUGUUGUCGGGUGGACCCUUGUUGUUCCGGCAGACUGGCUCGACGGUAUGCUAUAAUGGCGCGGGGCCGCUACCUCUUACAGUUAGCGUUCGGCCCGUAUCAAGCACGUUCUGCGUUUGACGGCGAUCGGACCCAGUGCCGAUUCUGUCCCGGAACGACUGUUGGUUACGGUGUUCUCGAACAGACCUCGUUGAAACGCCGAUCAGCGACGCUAUAGCUUUGGGUACUUUCAGGACCCGUCUUGAAACACGGACCAAGGAGUCUAGCAUGUGCGCGAGUCAUUGGGACAUUAUUAAACCUAAAGGCGUAAUGAAAGUAAAGGUUUACCUUGCGUAGACCGAGGGAGGAUGGGUGGUUUGCCCUUAAAGUGGCCAUCCCGCACUCCCGGGGCGUUUUGUUCUCAUUGCGAGAAGAGGCGCACCAAGAGCGUACACGCUGGGACCCGAAAGAUGGUGAACUAUGCCUGGUCAGGACGAAGUCAGGGGAAACCCUGAUGGAGGUCCGUAGCGAUUCUGACGUGCAAAUCGAUCGUCGGAACUGGGUAUAGGGGCGAAAGACUAAUCGAACCUC
This 811-nucleotide ribosomal RNA is filed under the name Coleoptera sp. NZAC03009062. Its description in RNAcentral is "eukaryotic LSU rRNA". It matches the Rfam family "Eukaryotic large subunit ribosomal RNA", at positions 396 to 944 of the family's 3401-position model. The record is from RNAcentral. Lineage: Eukaryota; Metazoa; Arthropoda; Insecta; Coleoptera.